GCUGGUGGGGCUGUUCUUUCCCUUGUCUGGUUCAGCACCCCAGCAGAGCUGCCCAGCAUAUAGCAGAGGAGAUCGGUGGGGGGACUCUUGGGGAGUCAGAAGAUCUGCUAGGCGUUGGGAGGAGGAAGCAGUUUCUGGGACGUGCUGCCUAUUUCUACAUGAACGUGUUGGAAACAAUGUAACCUUGGUGACUGCAAUUUGAAUCACGGUGAAAAUAUUUUCUACUUCCUUCAACACUGAAUUGGAUUCAGGAGGCAUAUCGAAGGCUGUCAGCGGUUCUCUGUGAAUUGAAGUGUUCAAACUAGCAUUCGUGUGAUGCAAACAAUAAUCACCUUUAUUGAGCA
This is a long non-coding RNA of Neofelis nebulosa (Clouded leopard), 344 nucleotides long. RefSeq lists it as uncharacterized. NCBI's taxonomy places the organism in Eukaryota, Metazoa, Chordata, Mammalia, Carnivora, Felidae. The record is from RefSeq and is a predicted model, not a curated record. The transcript is spliced from 2 exons.